AUGACUCUUCAGAUUCUUCGAGAAAACGAUCUCCUUCCUCUUCAACUUGACAGCACGACUCCUCCACCAAUCUCCGUCUCCCAUUCAUCCUUGAAUCCAUCUCAAAAUCUCACGAUACAAACACCAUCAUCACCUCCGUUUAUUUCCGGUCUCCAUCUCACUAUAUCAUCGCAAUCCUGCUUCAUUUCAAAAGCUUCGAUUCAGUCAUUCGACUUCUUCAAUCUCUUUUUCCGUCUCUGGUCUUCUCCUUCGCUGACCGCAGCUACAUCCAUCUCAAUCAUCAUCACAUUGCGGCUUUGA
This is a non-coding RNA of Vicia faba (fava bean), 300 nucleotides long. The record is from the annotation of a GenBank genome assembly. NCBI's taxonomy places the organism in Eukaryota, Viridiplantae, Streptophyta, Magnoliopsida, Fabales, Fabaceae.